Molecule: ribosomal RNA, 254 nt
Filed under: uncultured bacterium
Lineage: Bacteria
Description: partial 16S ribosomal RNA
Rfam family: Bacterial small subunit ribosomal RNA
Source: RNAcentral
UACGGGGGGAGCAAGCGUUGUUCGGAUUUACUGGGCGUAAAGGGCGCGUAGGCGGCCAGCACAAGUCAGUUGUGAAAUCUCCGAGCUUAACUCGGAAAGGUCAACUGAUACUGUGCGGCUAGAGUGCGGAAGGGGCAACUGGAAUUCUUGGUGUAGCGGUGAAAUGCGUAGAUAUCAAGAGGAACACCUGCGGCGAAGGCGGGUUGCUGGGCUGACACUGACGUUGAGGGACGAAGGCCUGGGUAGCAAUAAGG